Molecule: transfer-messenger RNA, 415 nt
Filed under: Parcubacteria group bacterium CG1_02_39_15
Lineage: Bacteria
Also listed under: 4 other names
Rfam family: transfer-messenger RNA
About the family: Bacterial tmRNA, also known as 10Sa RNA or SsrA, is named for its dual tRNA and mRNA-like properties.
Source: RNAcentral
GGGGGUGAAUAGCAUCGACAGAAAUCUUUACCAAAAUAAGCAGGUAGAGUCUGCUAGAAACUCUUAAAACCUCUAGCAAAGAAAAUAAGUGCCAACUUAUUCGCAAGCAAACAGCUUGCUCCCGUCCUCGCCUAUGCUUAAAUAGGCGGGACCAUCUGACCGCUGAUUCUCGAUAGGCGGAUCCAGGUGUCAUAUUUUCGAGAUAGAUAGUUCUUUUGUCUCAAGAACUUUAUCGAAGAGAUAGAGACAAGUGGUACUAGAAUUUUGUCUAUUUUUAUCCUUCGGUGAUACUCAGGAUAACCCUGAGCGAAGUUGAAGGGUUAAUCUAGUAUUUCAAAAACUAAAAUAGACUAAACUUGUAGAGAUAUUUUGGCAAUAUUUCUGGAUUGGGGCCCAAAACCCCACACCUCCACAC